GGGCACUCUGAUGGGACUGCCGGUGACAAACCGGACGGAAAGGUGGGGAUGACGUCAAGUCCUCAUGGCCCUUAUAGGUGGGGCUACACACGUCAUACAAUGGCCGGUACAAAGGGCAGCCAACCCGCAGGGGGAGCCAAUCCCAUAAAGCCGGUCGUAGUCCGGAUCGCAGUCUGCAACUCGACUGCGUGAAGUCGGAAUCGCUAGUAAUCGUGGAUCAGCAUGUCACGGUGAAUACGUUCCCGGGUCUU
Molecule: ribosomal RNA, 251 nt
Filed under: uncultured Hydrogenophaga sp.
Lineage: Bacteria; Pseudomonadati; Pseudomonadota; Betaproteobacteria; Burkholderiales; Comamonadaceae
Description: partial 16S ribosomal RNA
Rfam family: Bacterial small subunit ribosomal RNA
Source: RNAcentral